GGAACAUACAAUCAGGCUCCUUAGCAUAAAGAGAUGCCAGGGGAGAAAGUGCCACUCCGAGCAGUCGUCUGCCUGGAUUACUGUGAACAAGAAACCAAAGACCAAACAUCUCCGUUUUCUCAGUCCAGGUUUCUGGUACCUGGGGAUUUCGUUCAAGUCGUGAUGCCUGAAGGACCAGAUGAUACACUGAGGAUAUGCAGCUUCAUGAUGUUUUACUUAGUGCUGUUGGAACAAAGUGUGGCUGUCUUAUAGUUUCUCCUGAAUUUAUGAAUUCAACUCACUGAUGCCUUCCCUUCCCUCUACAUCCUGGAUUUCUUCUCUGAUCAACAGUUUCCACUGAUCUGCAGGUUACAUGGGCCAUACAGAAUGAAUAAAGGAUUUUACACAAGAAUGAUAAAUGGUGAUAUUUGCACAGAAGGGAGCCUUCAAGCAACUGUGUGGAGGUUGGACUGGUGGAGAAUGAGACAAGAGGUCCUCUGGUUAUGCAGCUAUUGUAGUUUUUCAGGGGACCGCACUUGAUUCUCAGACUGAGGAGGAGAGAGAGAGACAAGACUGAAGCUGGAGGAGCAGCUGCUGGUCCACCCUGCUGCCAAGCCUUGGCAGCAGGUUCCUGGGGAAGCAGUAGGCACCUGGUUCACACAGGACCAGCACAGCUGGCCCAGCUUUUGACUGGCAGAGCGUGGCUUCCUUCGUCACCAAAGUGACUGGCCCUGUGAUCUUGCUACAGCCUGCUGAAACCGAGAGGGACACAGUGAAAGCAGUACACCUCAGCGGAGCAGGUGCAAGUCACAUUUCACUAAUGAAC
This 805-nucleotide long non-coding RNA is filed under the name Equus asinus (donkey). RNAcentral's name for it is "lncRNA (ENSEASG00005035821.1)". The record is from RNAcentral. Lineage: Eukaryota; Metazoa; Chordata; Mammalia; Perissodactyla; Equidae.